GAUGAACGCUGGCCCCGUUUUUGACACAUGCAAGUCGAACGAAGCGCUUAAACGGAUUCUCUUCGGAUUGAAGUUUUUGUGACUGAGUGGCGGACGGGUGAGUAACGCGUGGGUAACCUGCCUCAUACAGGGGGAUAACAGUUAGAAAUGACUGCUAAUACCGCAUAAGCGCACAGUGCUGCAUGGCACAGUGUGAAAAACUCCGGUGGUAUGAGAUGGACCCGCGUCUGAUUAGCUAGUUGGUGGGGUAACGGCCUACCAAGGCGACGAUCAGUAGCCGGCCUGAGAGGGUGAACGGCCACAUUGGGACUGAGACACGGCCCAAACUCCUACGGGAGGCAGCAGUGGGGAAUAUUGCACAAUGGGGGAAACCCUGAUGCAGCGACGCCGCGUGAGCGAAGAAGUAUUUCGGUAUGUAAAGCUCUAUCAGCAGGGAAGAAAAUGACGGUACCUGACUAAGAAGCACCGGCUAAAUACGUGCCAGCAGCCGCGGUAAUACGUAUGGUGCAAGCGUUAUCCGGAUUUACUGGGUGUAAAGGGAGCGUAGACGGUUGUGUAAGUCUGAUGUGAAAGCCCGGGGCUCAACCCCGGGACUGCAUUGGAAACUAUGUAACUAGAGUGUCGGAGAGGUAAGCGGAAUUCCUAGUGUAGCGGUGAAAUGCGUAGAUAUUAGGAGGAACACCAGUGGCGAAGGCGGCUUACUGGACGAUCACUGACGUUGAGGCUCGAAAGCGUGGGGAGCAAACAGG
Molecule: ribosomal RNA, 749 nt
Filed under: uncultured bacterium
Lineage: Bacteria
Description: bacterial SSU rRNA
Rfam family: Bacterial small subunit ribosomal RNA
Source: RNAcentral